ACGUCGCAGCAAGCAGCAUUUUGAAGCCCAAUUACAUGUGUUUGGAAAAUCAAAAAGUGCCCGCCUCUGGUAUAAAGGAAAGGCGAGAUUUCUUAACCACGCUACUGAACGGAUUUACACAAGAUUUUUGGUGUAUAUAAUAAACGAAGUACAUGAUGACAUAUGAUUUCUUUCUCCAAAUACGUACAUACAUUCAGCGCGUGGGGAAGCCACGCGCAUCUGUGGCCGGCUAGUAGAAUAUAAAUUUAAACGUUUUAUAAAGGAGUCUGCUGAAUAAAAAAUACAGUAAAAAAUUGAAUAUUAAUUUGUGAUUUGAUUUUUGUAGUCAUUCGUCGAGCUAUCGAUGAAUCGUAAACAUUGCUACCUGUGAUUGCUAGCUGGCAAAGAGCGUUAACUCAUGAUCUCCAUGCAAUAGCUUAUCAGAAAAAAAAUCAAACACUGGCGUGCGUGCGCUGCAACAUGUAUGAACAGCAUUCAAGACACCGAAAAUAAAUAAUCCAAAACAAAUAUUUGAUGUCUGACCGCAAUACAAAUUGCCUGAUUGUUUUCGUUUGAUUGAGCCUUAUUUCGUCUUCUUAUUCGGAACCAGAAAUGAGGUCCUUGAUAACCUCAUUGCUUCUUGCAAUUUACUAUUGGAUUAUAGUGUUUGUUUUUUUGAUGUUGGUCGGAAACUGGACUCGAACCCAUGCCAUGAGGAAUGGUAGCGCACACUGCUAACCACUACACCAAUCGGAACACAAAUUUAAAACAAUGAAUAUUUAUUUAAUUUUAAACUGUAUGAAUUGCACUCCAGUGUAAAUGAGUACCAACAGUGUUUUUUAUUUGGCAACACGAAUUCACCAUAACACAAAAACGCUUAAAAUUGGCGAUAAAAAUAGAAUAAAAUUGUUGUGUUAUAACUCGUACUAUUGUUUUACAGUGUGACGAAUGAAAGCAACAACCGCAGA
Molecule: long non-coding RNA, 947 nt
Organism: Rhagoletis pomonella (apple maggot)
Lineage: Eukaryota; Metazoa; Arthropoda; Insecta; Diptera; Tephritidae
Exons: 3
Source: RefSeq, a predicted model, not a curated record